Long non-coding RNA from Anas platyrhynchos (mallard), 3153 nucleotides. RefSeq lists it as uncharacterized. Lineage: Eukaryota; Metazoa; Chordata; Aves; Anseriformes; Anatidae. The record is from RefSeq and is a predicted model, not a curated record.
GAGAAGAAGAAGGGGCUUCUGCCCUGCUUGUGGGGAGGGACAGCAGGAGGAGGUGGAGAAGUGAGAAAGUGGCGAGCCAUUCGUGCAACUUGUCUUCUAUUAUUGCCUUCAAGAGGCCAGGCAUUCACCGAUGGGUUCCCACCAGGCUGAAUUUCUUCUCGUGCAUCCUCCUUGGCCUCCUGUGGUAUCCGACCUGUUCCCCGCUGUGUGCCCACCUGUGCCCCUGGAGGAGGGCAGGGGCUGGUGGGUCUGAUGGCACAGCUGCUUGUGUGACCUUCUGCUCACCCCAGUCAGCUGAAAUGGGCCAGAUUAGAGGGAAAUGGCAGAUCUUUGAGGUUUUGGUGUGCGUGGAGUGAGAGAUUAAGGAGAGCACCUGGAGCAGGUCGGCGUGCAGGUAAUGAGAGUGGCGACAUCUUUGGAGAGCAGGAGGAAGCUGGAUGGAGCUGGGCCUCAUGCCCCUUGAACAAGCAAAUGGCCAGCACUAGAAGCAUGAAGAAAAAAUACAUCCUCCUCCUUCUUUGGCUACUGCCAAAUGGCAGAAGGAGGGCAUACGUGGUGACAACUGCCUGCUCCAGUGAGUGGCCAGAGGCAGGGCCAUCAGGCUGUGAGGGUAGCUUCGUUUUGUUCACGAGGAGAACACGUCUGCUGUGGAGGACAGGCCACAGCAGGUGGCUCCAGCACCUUCACAAGAACCCAUGGGGCCUGCCUGGUGCAGACCCAUGGGCCUCCAAGAGCAGGCUCGCUGGAAAUAGUUAUUAAGAGCAAUUUCUCUUUUGGCAGUAGUUACUGCUAGAAAAACACAAUAUGACAUAAAGCUGUGGUAAGCAGCCCAUAAAGGACCUAUGAAUUUUUCUUACUAUGGUUAGAUUUAUUACUUUGUUUACUUUUUCUGAUUCAAAUCUAGUUGAAAUCAUUGAAAGUCCUUAAGGAAGCAGGUUGGAGCAAUCUGAGCAGAACCAUGCCAUGGACGUCACAUUUCCUCAAACCAUGUGAGAGGCCUCCUGGGGGUCCUGAACACUGACGGGGCUUUUUGGAGGUGACAGCUUGGAUGCCACUGGCUUCUUGUCCUCUGCCUGUGGUGUAGCACUCACUGAAUCUGGAGCCUGGGGUUUGGGCUCGUUUCCAUCUGCCAAACUCAGUCUGAAUCAAGCACAAAAAGAUAGACAGACCAUAAAAUACUUCAUCUUCCCAGAAGGUAUUUUCCUUUGUUUUACUCAUCUGUAAUGAAUUUAACGUUCAGAGGAGCUCAGCAAAAAAGCUGGGGGUCAGAGAACAUCGGGCUUGCUUGGAGACCGUGCACUGAUGGUGAAGCUGAAGACCACCAUGGACAGAGCAGGAGCUGGGCUCUUGCCUGCGGUGGUGCUGGGAUGUGGGGUCUGCUUGCAUCAUGGACCUCCCGCCUGCCCUUGCUGCCUCCCAGCCCUUGCUCCCUCCUGUAGCAUCGCCCUGCAUAAGCAGGGAAUGAGGAACUGACUUCUGCAAGUGAUUAACUAAUUAAAAUGCACUAGGACAAUUGCAAUUGAGUGUCUGACUAUAACCUUCAGCUCUAGCUUAAUUAGUACAUAAACCUUGCUUUACGCCCUGUGCAAAGGAAUGAAUUUAAUACACUUGGAAUUAUCUGUUCAGCCUACCAAGGAGGGGACCAACAGCUCACUCUGCCACCGAUACCGCUCCUCACCUCACUGGGCUGUGAUCAGUCAUUGAUACCUUACGGGGCACUGAAGGAGUUUAAUGAUUUUAAGUCAAUAAGGACUGGGCUAGACGAAUGCUAGCCUGGAUGAUGGCAUUGUACAGAGGAACAGUCUCAACCAGUUUCCAGCAGCAUGAGAAAUACAUUUGUAUUGCUUGUAAUUAUAUGUUUUUAGCCAAAUUAAUCACGGCACUAAAGCUAAUUUUGGUUCAACGGAAUUGUACCAUGCUAUGCUUACUCUGAGUUUGACCCUCUGACUUUGUGCAAGCUAGGUCUCUGGAUGUUGGUUAUGGGAAGAGGGAAAAAUUAUCUACUUGUUAGCACUGGAGGUGUUGCAGCAAAACUGGCCGAGCAGGGACAUUUGGUAGCUUUUGUGAAAUAUUUGGGGGUUAACUUGAUAAGAAUUGCGUUUUCUCCAACUUAUUAACAAAAGAAAACUGGAUAAGAAAUCAUUCCAGUUGGAACAAAACAUUUGCUUCAUUUGUAGUCUUUAUUGUUCAGUUUUCUAGAAAGAAAUUGGGUGAUACAAUACCAUUUCAAAAUAAAACAUCAUAAUGUUUCAGUAUGGAAAUUUGAAGUGGGGGAAGGAGACCAGCAAGCUGAAGUGAAUGAACUCAGUGCUAGCUUGUGCCGUAUUUCUGGUUGACCAGGAUCUGGAUUUUUGAACAUAAACACCUGAGCCCAGCUGUACCUGGGAGAAAUAACCCCAAGUCCUUGCUUGGCACAAGCUCCUUGAUGGACCUCAGGUGAGCCACUCAGGCCUUUAGACCUCAGUGAAGGGCAAUUUCAGGAGCUCAGGAAAAAAGUCACAAUCUGUGUUUUCCCCAAAUGAGUAAUCCACAUAAUGUUUAUAACUAAUCUAAAGCUUUUGUUUACAUCAGUUCUUUUUGGUUUUGACCUUUUCAUCCUUAAUUGUUUUUCUCUUUUUAAAUGAAGUUAAAUUUUGAAUCAGCUUAAACAGAAAACUAAAGCUUUUAAUUAGUAAACUGUUGAAACAAGAUGUUUCAGAGUUCAGAACUUUUUGAGCACCUCACAUUAUCAUUGGGUCAAAAUGGACCUUCUCCUUUGAAAAGUUCUGGUUCCAGGAUUUCUCAAUGGGGAAAAGGAGUUUAAAUGGACAAGCUUUAAAUAUUUCUGGUACCUGUAGUAGCUUUUUCGAACCCCUUCACAUGCUUCACUUUUACCCUCCCACACACACUGCUGAGAAACAAAUCCUUUGGAAAUGGAAAUCAGGCUUGAAGUAAACAGAUUAGUAAUGGUUAUUUGGUAGCACUUUAUUAAUUAAAUGUCCUAAAUACACUUAAACCUAAGCAUUUAAUUUAGAUUUAUAAGGAUAAUUUAGAUUUAUAAGAAUAGCUAUUAUACAUUACGUACAGUAAAUGCCAAUUGAUUUUUAUAGACAAUAUUUACUGAGGUGUAACCACACUGCAAAAUUUAAUUAUCUUCGUACUUUGUUAAGAGGA